CAUCACCGCAUUCAUUCACGUUGCCAAAAGCUCAGCUGGAUGGGGACCUCUGCAUGGACACAGGGACAAGCUGCCCCUUUGCUGGCGUGCCUUGGGGUCUCCAUCACUUUGGCCAAACCAACCUGGAGGAAAUCUUCUUCAUCUUUAAUUGCUGUCUCCUCUUUGAGCUACCUGGGCUCCUUACUUUGGCCAACCCCUCCCGCGGUACGCGACCAUCUGAAACGAACAGCGCCAGUCCUCAGAGCCCCGGUCUCCUUCCAUCCCGUAACACUAUGCAGAGCUAACCACAGCCUUAAUGUACUGACAGUUAAACUGCUUUUAUCUCUUUUAUUUUCCACAAAGUUCUCACACAAUAAUCCCCCUGUCAUAUUUUUUACCAAUAAAAUAUAUGAAUCGCUAAUCUAGUGGCUAACUUUACAGUGAUACGAGAUCUCCCCUUGUAAUGACUUCCACAGUGAAAUAACAAAAUCCCUAUCAAAGGCAAUCUUUUUAUGACUGCUAGAAAGACCGUCUCUAUCCAGACACUUGCCAUCAGUUUGGUUUUAACUCCCUUCUCCCCUUGCAUGACUGAGAAAAUGGACUAGCCCUAAAUUUAGGAUAAACACACGAUUACCAGGCAUUUAGCAACAGAAAACUUUCCCUGCUUUGUUUAGCCUAGACACGUCCAAGUGGAAAAGCCAAGGAACACUCCUCCCCACCUCCCUUUAGCCGUGGAUAAAACCCACACGCUGCAGAAGAGAAAUUUCUAACAAAAAUUGGCCCUCCUGAGCGUGCAGUUGGUGGCAGACCCCUCGUUCAAUAAAUUACGUCACUUUGGGUCGUGGCAGCACGGGAGCACGACGCGAGGCGGCGAGCAAGCGUGUGUCUGGUUUUGGCACCGGUGGAGCAAUCAUAAAAAAGCACUUUAAUGUUUACAGCGGAGGCUGAGCUGUGCCCAACGCCCUGGCGAGGAGGGAGGUGCGGAUGCUCCCGGCUUUGUGCUCGUGGGUGAGCACCCGGCAGCCACCCCGCUCCCCCUGCCACGAGGCUGGAGGGGUUUGGGGAUGUUCGCGAACCUGCCAUCAGCACCCGCUGGGCUUCUUUUCACUCUCCACGCUGGGUAUUUCAGCCCCACGCAUCUGCCCCUUUGUUUCCUUCACCGUUCCCACUAGCUAACAGCUUCCUAAAAAGUUCCCUGGAUGCUCCCCAAACCUGGUGCUCCCGUGGCUCUGGACCUGUAGCUCUCCGCCCUGUCUGCUCCAGCUGAUGCGAGGUUUUUGGGGUAGGGACUGCCCGUCUGCACCCCGUGAAACAGCGCCUUGUUCUCCACUGGCCUUUGGAGAGCAACGUGCAGAUGGGGAUGUGAAUAAUCUCUCACAUUUAGUUGUCAUCCCCAUAAAGGCAAAUUGCAACUGAUUGCCCCUUACUUCCCCCUAAAGCCCUCCCUACCAAACGAGACCUCAGGAACCGAGCGCAGCUCUGCAGAGCCCUGUGUUUAACUACAAUUUACUGAUUAGCUGCCAGGCAGUGCAUAUCACAGGGGGGAUCGCAUUUCACCAUUCUGAUAUAUUUUAAUCCCUGAAUAAGUAAUCAGAUGCUCCGAGCACUACCACGCCGUGUAUUCCCUACAACCUGCUGUAAGGGAAGGCUGAAAUCUCAGUCGGAGGGACGUGGAAGACCACAGCCCCAAAAGGGGUUCUCUUGGAAAGCAAACCCCAAAGGAGCUGUGGGGCCACGAGGAGACUGCGAGGGGCUGGGGGAGGCGAGCAAGGACACAUUCCGGUUCAUGGAAAGAAACUUUUGCGCAAUCCCCUUAAUAAAAAGCACUGCAGGAAACCCACUGCUCGCUGACGGGCUGUGGGAAGUGGAAAGCUGAGGAUGUGCACUCGGAGCAACGCCGGCGUCUCAAGGAGAGGUCAUCUGCACAACGAGCAGAGAGGGAAUUUCUGCUGCCGGUAAAUAAAUAAAUAAGGGCAACAGCAGCUCUGCAGACCUGGCCAGCCUCACCCCAGAAGCAUGCAGGUUUGCAGGACUUCGCUCCGCCUACGCAGGAAGGGGGUUUUUGUGGGUUUGCCAAUAUUACAAAACCACUGCAUAAGUUGGGUGAGAAACUGAAACCAUUUCAGUGGUCAGCAAAGCACGACGCCGCGUGUGCAGAGCUGAAGUAGGCUGUUGUGCCUCUUUCUGUGUCGGGACACGUCUUCCCAACUCCCUCUCACAUGAGACAGAUGCUUCUGCUUCUGGUUUUGCGGGCAACACGAGAACCUGGAGCACUUGGGAGGACGGUGGCUCGUUACAGCGUGAACCUGGGCUCUCCAGAGCUGCUAAUUAGAGAGAUAAUAUCUCGGUUGCUUUACGAGCAUUAGAAGACUUUUGCUUGCGUGGAGAUACUUCUGCAGAGGAAAGCAGAGGUGGAUUUAGCAGAGAGCAAUUGUUUAGUAAAAAGAAGAAAUGAUUUACCACAGCCGGGUGCGUUUUUAUAUUUUAAUUAAUCUCGCUUUAGUCAAAAAAAAAAA
Long non-coding RNA from Anas platyrhynchos (mallard), 2495 nucleotides. RefSeq lists it as uncharacterized. The record is from RefSeq and is a predicted model, not a curated record. Lineage: Eukaryota; Metazoa; Chordata; Aves; Anseriformes; Anatidae.